RNAcentral lists this ribosomal RNA (484 nucleotides) under uncultured bacterium. Its description in RNAcentral is "partial 16S ribosomal RNA". It matches the Rfam family "Bacterial small subunit ribosomal RNA", at positions 30 to 507 of the family's 1533-position model. The record is from RNAcentral.
AUUGAACGCUGGCGGUAGGCCUAACACAUGCAAGUCGAGCGGAAGAGCGGAGCAUGUUCCUGGAUUCAGCGGCGGAGGGGUGAGUAAUGCCUAGGAAUCUGACUGUGAGUGGUGGAGAAGGUCCGGGAACGGGCGCUAAUACUGCAUACGUCCAGGGGGAGAAAGUGGGGGAGGUGGGGAGCACACGCUAUCGGGUGAGGCUAGGUCGGAUUAGCUAGUUGGUGGGGUAAAGGCCUACCAAGGCGACGAUCCGUAGCUGGUCUGAGAGGAUGAUCAGUCACACUGGAACUGAGACACGGUCCAGACUCCUACGGGAGGCAGCAGUGGGGAAUAUUGGACAAUGGGCGCAAGCCUGAUCCAGCCAUGCCGCGUGUGUGAAGAAGGUCUUCGGGUUGUAAAGCCCUUUAGUUUGGAAGGAAAGGCAGUAAGUUAAUACCUUGCUAUUUUGACGUUACCAACAGAAUAAGCACCGGCUAACUUCGUG